AACCAUAGAAACCUGCGGAGUACCUGCGGAGGGAUCAUUACAGAGUUGCAAAACUCCCUAAACCUUUGUGAACGUUACCUAAACCGUUGCUUCGGCGGGCGGCCCGGGUCCUUCCCGGCGCCCCUCGGCCCUCGCGGGCGCCCGCCGGAGGUAAACCAAACUAUUGCAUUGUAUGGCCUCUCUGAGUCUUCUGUACUGAAUAAGUCAAAACUUUCAACAAUGGAUCUCAGAUCGGAAGAG
RNAcentral lists this unclassified non-coding RNA (240 nucleotides) under soil metagenome. Its description in RNAcentral is "partial contains 5.8S ribosomal RNA, internal transcribed spacer 2, and large subunit ribosomal RNA". The record is from RNAcentral.